RNAcentral lists this long non-coding RNA (866 nucleotides) under Salvia miltiorrhiza (redroot sage). RNAcentral's name for it is "long non-coding RNA (SMIL_LNC006287)". Lineage: Eukaryota; Viridiplantae; Streptophyta; Magnoliopsida; Lamiales; Lamiaceae. The record is from RNAcentral.
AGAUCAAAUACUCAUCUCCUCCUCUUGCGCCGCCUCUUCUCUCUCGUUUCUUCUCCUAGUCCAAACCUUCCUCUUUCUUCUACAUGCGCCGCUGCCGGCGAGAAGCCACGGUCGCCGAUGUUCUCCACCGUCUUCUCACUCCCUCUGCCUCACCCUCUGUCGGCGAAAAACCUGCAACCAUAUCACGGCAAAGCCGCCGCCCAAAAGCCCUAGAUCCCUAAACCACCAACUCCGCCCUCACAUCUAAGCACUGACGCCGUUCCACACGGCGUCGCCUCCCUCCUCGAAGACGAUAAAUGCGCCGCUGCCUCCCUCUGCACAGCCCGUUUCCAGUCGCCGUCCGGGUUUCAAACUACGGCGUCGCCCAAGCCCUAGCCUCCAGAUCUCGGCCUCCUCCCUCGUCUGCAUCUUUAAUUCUAGCGUUCUCCAUAUGAAAUUUUUUCUUGCAGAUUAUUUUCUUUUUUAUACUUUCUAAGAUCUAUUUUUUUUUCGUUUGUUAGUUUUCGUUUUUAAUUUUUAAUUUUUUUAAAUUUCUCUAUGUUUAAUUUUUCUUGCUGAAGUAUCAUUUUUGUUCAUUUAAACGAUAGCCAAAAAAUUUCGUCUGCAUCUGCUCCAAUGUUUUUGUUCAUUAAAAACCCUAGCCACAAAUUUUAUUUGAGAACGACUUUAGAGUUUUUCUAAUGAUAGUGCUUCUCUUUUCUUUUUUUUCCUAUACAGACAUCUUUUAUUUUUUUCGCAUUCUUAGUUUCUCGUUUUUCAAAUUUUCAUUUUGAUAGAUCUCUGAAUAUCUACACAUGAAACUGGUACUUGUUGAUUUUUAGAUAUCUGCUUUGUCUUGUUUUUCAUUUUCAUUUUCAUUUUGGUAG